RNAcentral lists this ribosomal RNA (433 nucleotides) under uncultured bacterium. RNAcentral describes it as "partial 16S ribosomal RNA". It matches the Rfam family "Bacterial small subunit ribosomal RNA", at positions 29 to 507 of the family's 1533-position model. The record is from RNAcentral.
AACGAACGCUGGCGGCAUGCCUAACACAUGCAAGUCGAACGAGACCUUCGGGUCUAGUGGCGCACGGGUGCGUAACGCGUGGGAACCUGCCCUUAGGUUCGGAAUAACUCCCCGAAAGGGGUGCUAAUACCGGAUAAUGUCUUCGGACCAAAGAUUUAUCGCCUUUGGAUGGGCCCGCGUUGGAUUAGCUAGUUGGUAGGGUAAAAGCCUACCAAGGCGACGAUCCAUAGCUGGUCUGAGAGGAUGAUCAGCCACACUGGGACUGAGACACGGCCCAGACUCCUACGGGAGGCAGCAGUAGGGAAUAUUGGACGAUGGGCGAGAGCCUGGUCCAGCAAUGCCGCGUGAGUGAUGAAGGCCUUAGGGUUGUAAAGCUCUUUUACCCGGGAUGAUAAUGACAGUACCGGGAGAAUAAGCUCCGGCUAACUCCGUG